Molecule: ribosomal RNA, 468 nt
Filed under: uncultured bacterium
Lineage: Bacteria
Description: partial 16S ribosomal RNA
Rfam family: Bacterial small subunit ribosomal RNA
Source: RNAcentral
GACGAACGCUGGCGGCGUGCUUAACACAUGCAAGUCGAACGGAAAGGCCCUGCUUUUGUUGGGUUCUCUAUUUGCGAACGUUUGAGUAACACGUUUGUAACCUGCCCUUUACUUUGUUAUAUCUUCAGGAAACUUUGGCUAAUACCGUAUAGUAUCUCCUGCUGCAUGGUUGUGGUUGGAAAUUUUCGGCGGUUGGGGAUGUACUCGCGGCUUAUCAGCUUGUUGGUGGGGUAGUGGCUUACCAAGGCUUUGACGGGUAGCCGGCCUGAGAGGGUUACCGGCAACAUUGGGACUGAGAUAAGGCGCAGACUGCAACGGGAGGCAGGAGUGGGGAAUAUUGCACAAUGGGCGGAAGCCUGAUGCAGAAACGACGGGUGCGGGAUGACGGCCUUCGGGUUGUAAACAGCUUUAGAAUGUGACGAAGAGUGAGUGACGGUAAUGGGUAAAGAAGCAACGGCUAACUACGUG